AGCGUAGACGGCGCAGCAAGUCUGAUGUGAAAGGCAGGGGCUUAACCCCUGGACUGCAUUGGAAACUGCUGUGCUUGAGUGCCGGAGGGGUAAGCGGAAUUCCUAGUGUAGCGGUGAAAUGCGUAGAUAUUAGGAGGAACACCAGUGGCGAAGGCGGCCUACUGGGCACCAACUGACGCUGAGGCUCGAAAGUGUGGUAGCGAACA
RNAcentral lists this ribosomal RNA (206 nucleotides) under uncultured bacterium. Its description in RNAcentral is "partial 16S ribosomal RNA". It matches the Rfam family "Bacterial small subunit ribosomal RNA", at positions 568 to 774 of the family's 1533-position model. The record is from RNAcentral.